Molecule: unclassified non-coding RNA, 214 nt
Filed under: uncultured Agaricus
Lineage: Eukaryota; Fungi; Basidiomycota; Agaricomycetes; Agaricales; Agaricaceae
Description: sequence contains ITS2
Source: RNAcentral
AAUUCUCAACCCUCUUGUGCUGUUUUGUACAGGAGGGCUUGGAUUGUGGAGGCUUGCUGGCCGCUCGUUUGAGGUCAGCUCCUCUGAAAUGCAUUAGCGGAAACCGUUUGCGAUCUGCCACAAGUGUGAUAAACUAUCUACACUGGCUAGGGGGAUUGCUCUCUGGGUUAUUCUGCUUCUAAUUGUUUCAACUCAAUGAAACAACGUCUUGAAU